Molecule: ribosomal RNA, 248 nt
Filed under: uncultured bacterium
Lineage: Bacteria
Description: partial 16S ribosomal RNA
Rfam family: Bacterial small subunit ribosomal RNA
Source: RNAcentral
GACAGAGGUGCCGAGCGUUAGGCGGAAUCACUGGGCUUAAAGCGUGUGUAGGCGGACGGGUAAGUACCUUGUGAAAUCCCACGGCUCAACCGUGGAACUGCUGGGUAUACUGCCUGUCUUGUGCAACCUAGGGGCGAGCGGAACAGAUGGUGGAGCGGUGAAAUGCGUAGAUAUCAUCUGGAACGCCAAUGGUGAAAACAGCUCGCUGGGGGUUUGCAGACGCUGAGACACGAAAGCCAGGGGAGCAA